Molecule: small RNA, 29 nt
Filed under: Bombyx mori (domestic silkworm)
Lineage: Eukaryota; Metazoa; Arthropoda; Insecta; Lepidoptera; Bombycidae
Description: ovarian small RNA-18370
Source: RNAcentral
UAAAGGUCACGCAGCGGUCGUAGCGGGUU